AGUGAACGCUGGCGGCAGGCCUAAUACAUGCAAGUCGAACGGCAGCACAGCAGAGCUUGCUCUGUGGGUGGCGAGUGGCGGACGGGUGAGGAAUACAUGGGAAUCUGCCCAGUCGUGGGGGAUAACGUAGGGAAACUUACGCUAAUACCGCAUGCGCCCUUCGGGGGAAAGCCGGGGACCUUCGGGCCUGGCGCGAUUGGAUGAGCCCAUGUCGGAUUAGCUAGUUGGCGGGGUAAUGGCCCACCAAGGCGACGAUCCGUAGCUGGUCUGAGAGGAUGAUCAGCCACACUGGAACUGAGACACGGUCCAGACUCCUACGGGAGGCAGCAGUAGGGAAUAUUGGACAAUGGGCGCAAGCCUGAUCCAGCCAUGCCGCGUGAGUGAAGAAGGCCCUCGGGUUGUAAAGCUCUUUUGUCCGGAAAGAAAAGCGCCGGGUUAAUACCCUAGUGUCCUGACGGUACCGGAAGAAUAAGCACCGGCUAACUUCGUGCCAGCAGCCGC
RNAcentral lists this ribosomal RNA (501 nucleotides) under uncultured bacterium. Its description in RNAcentral is "bacterial SSU rRNA". It matches the Rfam family "Bacterial small subunit ribosomal RNA", at positions 29 to 518 of the family's 1533-position model. The record is from RNAcentral.